This 185-nucleotide ribosomal RNA is filed under the name uncultured bacterium. Its description in RNAcentral is "partial 16S ribosomal RNA". It matches the Rfam family "Bacterial small subunit ribosomal RNA", at positions 1309 to 1500 of the family's 1533-position model. The record is from RNAcentral.
AACCCGACUCCACGAAGUUGGAUUCGCUAGUAAUCGCGCAUCAGCCAUGGCGCGGUGAAUACGUUCCCGGGCCUUGUACACACCGCCCGUCAAGCCAUGGGAGCCGGGGGGCGCCUGAAGUCCGGGACCGCGAGGACCGGCCUAGGGCGAAACUGGUAACUGGGGCUAAGUCGUAACAAGGUAAC